This 38859-nucleotide long non-coding RNA is filed under the name Lotus japonicus. RNAcentral's name for it is "long non-coding RNA (LJAP_LNC001750)". Lineage: Eukaryota; Viridiplantae; Streptophyta; Magnoliopsida; Fabales; Fabaceae. The record is from RNAcentral.
UUAACUCUUCUUUCAUUAUCUCUAGAACCUUUUAUUUAAGUAUAUGUUAGUGGUGUUUUACUAAAAUACUACUAUGUUAGAAGUUGUCUUGAAUGGAGAGUGCAUGCUUUAACUACCGAGAUGUCCCACAUCGUGCCUUUGAUUACGAAUUCCGCAAUUCAUAUACUUACGAAUUCCUGGUCAUCGGUCAUGUUCCGAUUAAGAUCCAUUGCUGUACUAUGUAUUCAAUCAUAGCGACUGAUUAAGAUCACCAAUUAAGAUAGCAAAAUAAAGCCAUUUGCGACUAACGCUUAGACGACGGCUUAGUGGGAGGAGAUAUAAUAGAUAGAAGUUAAAAAAAGGAAAGAGAAGAACUUUGAAAAACUACCUCUUCUUGAUAAAACAGAUGUUUUGGUACAUAUUUUCAAUUUUGUUAUGCGAAGGCUGAACUAUUGGGCAGACAACUUCCUAACUUUUAUAGGUAAACACUGAAUAACAAUUUUACAUAGUGGUAAUAAAAUCCUGUGGGCAUAUACAAAUGGUGUAAAUACUUCCUCCGUUUCUAUUUAUAUGUCCAAGAAGGAAAAGUUCACACAAAUUAAGAAAAACAAUUAACUAUGUUGAUUUUCAUAAAAAUAUAUUUGUUUUUCUAUAUCACAUUUUAAAAGUAUUUUAUCUUUCUUCAUUUAUUGUUUCUGUGAGGGUAAUGCUCUCUUGAAACUCUAAGUGGACAAUUAAUAAGGAACGGAGGGAAUAUCUAACAAUAUCUCAUUUUUCUUUCUAAGAGCAUCUACAUCUAUUAUACUCACUAAAAUAUCUACAUUUUAUUUUUUACAAUUUCUCAUAGUGUCACAUCAUCUACAUCACUCUACUAACUUUUUACUCCAACCCAACAACUCUUAAAAGUUUCUAUAGUGGAUCUCAUCAUCAACAUCGCAUUUGUAUAUUUUAUUAUUUAUCUUUAAUUAUAUUAAUUGGGAGUGCUUGUAAUAAAUACAAGCUCACUUUUCAAGUCUAGUUUGGAGUAUUUAUUCCCACAUACUCAUCUUUGUCAUGUUUGAAUUGAAUAUGUACUCUAAUGGUAAUAGAUACUCAUAUAAUAUGUAUUUAACAUUAGAUAUAUACUACUAUUGGAGAUCGUCUAAUUCUCUUCAAUAGUAUAUCACAUUUAUAUUUUCUUUUUUUCACUUUGCAUGUUUGUUCAGAGUCUGCACUUUGUAAAUGUUUAUAAAUUAUUUUAUUCACCUUUUUUCUAUUUAUAACUCAAAUUGAAAUUAAAUAUAAGUACAUAAAGUGCUCAAAUAAUAAAAGUUGUGAGACAUAUAAAUUAGAGAGGUGGGAUCUAGGAUUCAUCCUAGUAGGUGCAGUUUAUUUUUCAGAAAAGAAAAAAAAGGGUUUAACCCAAUUACGUAGGAAUAAUAGCCAUCCGUAUAUGGACGAAGCUAUACUGGUCUUUAGUCCCCUUCUUGGUCAAAUGUUGGUUAUUUUAUUUUUUUUCUCCUUAAGUGGCAGGACAAUUCUCCUGAAAGCUAUAUUCAUCAGGGAUAUCCCCGUGGGGGUGUAGUAGCGCAGCACACCCGUUCUUGGUCGCGCAGCCAGCACUUCUAGCUAAGAGUCCGUAUUAAUUUCUAUUUUAGGUCAGUGCAAGAGUCAACUGAAAUUAGAGAGUCAACAGUGGACAAGAGAACCUAUAUAGACAACACUACAACAGAGAUGAGAUGACGGCUGACGGUAGGUUAGAGACAGAGCUUAAAUCAUUGAAGUGUUGGGGUUUAUUGCAAUGUUACUCUCACAUUACUAAUGUUAAUCAAGGACGAAAUAGAUUAAGGAAAAAAUCUUGGAAAUUAAAAGUCUCAUAUUGUCUAGCAUAUUAAAGCUGGAGGAGACUAAUGCUACUUAAUUAUAAAGAUCUCAAGCUCCUUAUCACAACACACAUAAUGUUAGAAGUUCCACAUUGGCUAGAAAUAGAGCAUAGAUAACCUUUAUAAAGGGUAGUGCAAACUUCAACUCUUGAGCUAGCUUUUGUGGUUAAGUAUUGACCUCCCAAUUUCUAAUAUGGUAUUAGAGUCUAUCCUAGAUCCAUUUGUUGUUUGUUGUGGAGACUUCCCAUAUUUGGGGCACCCGUUGUUGUUGAUCCCAUGUUCCAGGGUGUUCAGUCCUGGACGUGAGGGAGUGUGUUAGAAGUCUCACAUUGGCUAGAGAUAGAGCAUAGAUAGCUUUUAUAAGGGGUAGUGCAAACCUCAACUAUUGAACUAGCUUUUGUGGUUGAGUAUAUGCCACCCAAUUUCUAAUACAUAAUACUAAUUGUGUAAUUUAAAUAUUAAUGUAUUAAAGUAAUGAGGUAGUUGAAAUAAAGUUCAUGUAUUGUAAUAACUUUCAGACCAUACUCAUUCUCAGACCAUAAUCUUUCUGUCCACCAUCCAAACAGGUAGAGGACGCUAGAAUGCCCCGAUCAUGAUUGAUGUAUUAUUAUUGGUCACCUAUCUCAAUGUCCAUGUAUGAUAGAGCUACCUACUUAGCUUUGAUUAUUUAAUUUAAAAGCAAAAGGGGAGUGCUAUAAAGGCGUUUAAAAUUAUUGCAUGUCUUGGUGCACUUUACCCACAAAAUUUGGAUAACAAUCUCUUUUGACAUUGACAUGUUUUUAAUGUUCAUGCAAAACUGUAUAAAAAUAAAGCAAAUUGGAUUAUUAUACCACUAAUAUGUUUAUGUCCGAAGAUAAAAGAUGUAGGACAAAGUUAGUAUGACUCGUAUAAUGAUGCAUGACAAAUAAAGCAGAAAUUUCUUUUUAGCAGGACGUGUUUUCAUGCAUGCUCACUCUCUUUGGUGCAUUAUUGAUAUAUUUACGUGAGUAGUAUUGUCACGGUGGUGUAUGACAAAGUGGCUAUUAAAUGUAGAGGAGCACUACUUACCAGUCUUAAGUCUUAACAAAGGAAUUUUUUCUUUUUAAAGCAAAAAUAUUUAUUGAAUUAUAAAUGCAUCGAUAUUUAAGUCGUCUCAACAAAUUAGUUAACGCCUAAAACAAAAUUUCCCAAAAAUUAAAAAUCCUAAUAUUUUUCCAACAAAAGGCCUAAAACGGCAAAUCGCUAACACCGGAUAUUAAUUGACACCUCAAUGACCCAGCUUCCACCACCAAACAAAAUCAGAGCAACGAAAAGCAACCAAGCUUAAAUUUGUUUGAUGCAUUCAUAAUGGGGGAUAGUUGAAAUCUAGGUGUUUCUCAUUUCUUCAAUUCACAUAUGAUAUACACCCUUCUUUGGGAAGGGUAGAAUUUAGAUUGUGAUUCUUCUGAAAAGUGUUCCUCGGAGUUUUGAGUAAGUGGCUGGUUUGAAAGUUAAUUUUAAUUAGCAAAGUUAGUUUGUUUGCUUAUGGUCAAUUGAUGAAGGUUUCUUAAGAAGGGAUGCUACAAUUCUUCACUAUGUAGCAUUGUCACUCCCAUUUGUGCACCUUGGUAUUCCCAUUAGAGUAAUCCAAGACGUACGUCUCUCCUUUUGGGAACCAAUGUUGAGAAAAUUAAGAUAUAAAUUCUCCCUUUUUGAAAAAAAAAUCUACGUCUUUUGGGGGAAGGAUAUGCCUCAUUAAUAAUGUACUCUUGGUUUACCUCUUCUAUCACUUUGCCAAAAAAGGCCUUUUGCAGCGGUUCCAAACCGCUGUAGAUCUCGCCGAUGUAAAAGAUUUUACGGCGAUUCAAACCGCUGUAGAAGUCCCUCUUUACAGCAGUUUACCCAUUGUAACCAUUGUGGAUGGUAGGUCUAUUACAAUGCAUAUUCACCGAACCACUACAUAGUAUAUCUUUUUUUACUUAAUUCAGCCCCUAAAUUAAUAAUAAUUAUAAUUAACCCACUUUACUAUGUUAUUUAUAAAGAAGGUUUAUCUCUUGAUUACAAUAGUAAAUUGGACAACUAUAUAUGUGAUAAAGGAUGUAAGUCAAAAACAGGAUUUGGAAAGGUGGGAGAUUAAUGGGUCAAAUGAGAAAACAUGUGUCGUCAGCAGGUUAAAUGUUAUGGUUUGGGCCGUUUGGAUCCAAUUAGGCAACAUCUUGGACCAGGGCAGGAGUGGGAUAGUAGCAAAAAUGCACCAUGCAGAAAUUGCUUGAUAGGCGUGAUAUCUGGGAUAAUACCUUGGAAUAAAAUGUGUUUUGAAAAUUAAAAUUUGCAAUAUUUUUUAAUUUUUUGUGUACUGAAAAUAAGAAUCCAGUGGUGGACAAAGUCAUUAUACAAAGUCAUUACACUAAGUCAGUAUAAAAUCAUAAUAUUUGAAGUGGUGGUUAAUCCUAAUAUAUACGGUUCUCCUCUUCCUCUAAUAGUUACCAAGUCCAAGGAUGAAUUUAAUUAAUUUGAUUAAGUGCAUAAUUGUUUGCAAGUGUUAUGUUUCUCAAGCAACUAGCUAGUGGUGCCACUAGUGUUCUUUUACUAAGAUAUAAGAAACAAUGGGUCGAUCGCAUUGUUUUUCAUUUUUUAUAAUGUAGUAAAAUAAUAAUGAAAUACUAUAAAAUGUCAAUGUAGAAGUUACAGUUACUACACUCUUACUAGCUAAAACCCAAAAUCACGAAUCAACUACAAUCAAAUUACCCACAAAUUUAUCACUAACUAGUUUGACUUUGGUAGCUCUGGACACAUUUGUCACAAUUUUCAGGCGUGGACAUAACAGUAACUUCAAUGACUUCGGGCUCCGUGGUGUUUUGAUCUAAUGGCACUAGUUGAGUCUUCUUUUUCAUUUCUCUGCUCUUACCCCAUAGCACACCAUAUAAGCCACACACGAUCAGUACUGCUCCAACCACACUAUAUAAUAUACAACGAAACUCAAUUAAUUCAAAUCAUGAACCCAAAAUAAUAAAUAAAAAGCAUAAAUUAAACAUGAUGAACAAAUUAAAUUAAAUUAAAUAUAUUGUGAAACAGAGUUAGACUAUAUAUAUGUAUACCUUCCUAAAUAUAAUUUCUCAUCCAAUAAUAAAUAAGCAGCGAUUGCCACAAGCAAAAGUUGUAGAGGAUUAAAGAUGGAUGCAAAUAGAGGACCUCUCAUCUUCACGCACCACGAAAUUACAAUAACCACCAUACCAGAAGCCACAAUUCCCUGCAGUUAACAUUUUAAUCCCAUAGUCAAAUAUAUGUGCUUCCUUUGAGCUUUUUAAUAUUUUCAUUAACUUCAGAGCAUACCGAAUAAGCCACGGUUAGCAGCCUGAUAUUGUAACCUAACUUCCAUUGGCUCCAAUCUCUAUCAACACAAAGAGCAAUAAUAGUAGAUUGUAUUGCUCCCAUUGUUGACAUCAAAGCUGAGCUUGAGUGAUAGCUUGGAUAUUCUUGGUUCAUCUUAGCCUGUACGUUGUGCAAUUAAAUGUAUUCAUAUAUAAGAUGACUUCAAUCAUAACUAAAUGAUAUACAAGUGCACUACAUUCGAUUCAUAAUUAAGGAAUAAGCUAACCUGAAUGAUUAACCACAAAGAGAAAGAGCAGCAACUUGCUAAGGCGCAUGGAACCCCUAAUAGUUUAUUACUAAAAUCUACAUGAGGCCGCAUCAUAUGCCCACUUUGGUCAUGAUGUGGAUGCAUAAGGUCAAUUUUGGAAGAUAAAAUAUUAAUUUCAAACCCUUUGAGAAAGGUAAUCAACAUUGCACCACUAAUUCCAACAACUGUUCCUAUCACCUUGGCCUUCCCUUCUGCUGCUCCAAAAUUCAGUUUUUCCAAUCUAUAGAAAAAUCAAAAGUAUAACAGUAAAAUGGGCACAAAUUAGUAUUAUAUUUUGAUUAAAAGCAUUGCAAAUUGAGAGUGCAUGUGAAACACUAUCUAUCAUUUAAUAUUAAUUACCUUUGUGCGGUGUAUAGGAGUGCUAAUCUACUCUUUGAUGUCUAUAUUAUCUCAUACAAAACUUAGUUGCUAGUUGCUACAUCGUCAUUAUAUUUAAUUAUCACUUAUAAAACACGGAUUAAUACUUUUUUUAAUCUUUUUAUAAUGGCAUCCUAGUCACUCUUGCCUUUACAAGCCUUCAAUCCUCAUGGCCAGUGGCCACUGAUUGUUUGCAAGUACAUGUUUCUACAACCAAACUAAAUAGUAAUUGAAAAUUCAUUGAUUUAAUUAUUUUCUAACAUCAUAAAAAAAGAUAAAAUAUAUAUCUAAGUGUACGUGUAGGGAGAGUACGUACCCAAAAGAAGUGGCCAUGAUGAAUGUAACGCCUGGAACAAGGUUUAACACCGCCAACAUAAACGUUGCAGAGGUCAAAGCCAAACCAACGGCGUAAAGGUUUAGAAAUAAACUUCCACUGAAAUGGAACAUUGCAUAUACCCAUAUAGUAUAUUGUUAAUUAAUUACCUUAUAACAAGGAUACUUUAUAUAAGGUGGAAAAAGGGUGAAUGAUUUAGGUAGCAUACCCAAACAAUCCACAGAGAAAUGCCAUAAAAAUCACCCUCCAAGUAAUUUUUUGCCUCUUCUUCCUGUGUAGAGAAAAAAUGCAAAACCAUUUUGACCUUGUUAGUCUAAUCUAUAUAAUGCGUGAGUCUCACGUUGAAACGCUAUACAAUGUUUGUCUCUUAUGUUACUAUUUGACAGAAAUCACAUCAGGUCAUUUAGUUGGAUUCAUCUCAAAGAGAAAGUGAGAGAAAGUGAUUUUUUUAGUUAGAAAAACAAAUAUGUAAAAAAGAGAAAGUGAUUAAGAGCAAUACGAAAAGUAAGAGAAAGACCCGAAAAUAGAGACGUGACGUAAAAGGCAAUAGUGGAAUGUAAAAGACAAACCUUAUUAUUUUUACAAAACCAAUAAUAAAAUUCGAGAAUUUUGAAAUAUUGUUCAGGUGUUUUAGACAUGUUGAACACCGGUUGCACUCUUCAAUAUAAAUAAAAUUAAAAAGUUCGACUUACUAGUAGAAAGGCCCACGUCUUUCAUUUUCAAAUCCAUAAUUAGAUAUUUUAAUGGUACUUUAACCUUUAAUCUACUUAUCGCAUGUUUUACUUCUUUCUUGUCUUCUAUCUCUUUCGUUUUAUUUUGGGUUUUCCUAAUUUCUAAAUCUCCUAUUUUUCCUCAAUUUUCCCUUAGAUGUCCAUCUCAAGUUAAUGAAAAACAUAAUCAUAAGAUAAUCCCUUUAAAAACUUUUAUGAUAUAAGAAUUGAUUGUGCUAAAUUAUUUUAUAUAUAUAGAGGAUAUAUGGCUUGUUUGAUUUCUGUUUUAAUUUUGAUGUUUAAAAAAAUUAGAAACAAUUUUUAAAAUUAUAUCAAAAAAAAAAACUUUUUGAAUAACGUGUUUUGCAACCUUAAGAAAACUUUAAUUUAACAACAUUGUGUUUCAGACUCCUCCUUGUACAUUUUCAUUACAUCAUCCUAGAAUAUAAAUUUGAAGAGACCCAUUAUAAGACAAGAUGAAAGAUGGAGUAAAAUAUAUUGUAUAAAUGAACAAUAUAAACUAUAUUUAAAUGUCAAAAUAAAAACUGACCCGUGAAAGUGAAUGUGAGGAAAUGGUUGGAAAAAAACAUUUCCAAAAAAGUACUUUUGCACAAGAAAUCUUUAAUUUUAGGCACACUUUUUCUUUUCCACAAUAAUAUUUUUACCAAAAAUGUUUAGAAAAUGCCCUUCUAACAAAAUAUAUAAUUUUUAAACGACUUCGUAUUCAGUCACUUUUCAAAUACUGACAAUUCGGUAUUUUAGAUUGAGUAAAAACUAAUACUAAUUUUAUCAUCUUUCGAAUGUAUUAUGUAGGGAUUGAGCCCCACUAAAAAAUAAAUUAAGGUUUUUUAACUCUCGAAAAAUGAAAGAAAAAACGAAGUUUAACAUGCUAUAUUGAAUGUACGUUAACAUUUUGAUAUAGAAGUUCAUGAAAUGAAAACACAUUUUUUGUGUAAAAGCAAAAAAAGGUGCAAGGAAAUUAUAAUAAACAACAACCUAUCAAGGAUAAGAGCAAGUGGAACUGUGAAAGCCGAUGCGAAAAUGAGGCGAUAAGCAGUUGCAACUCUCAUGCUCAUUCCAUCAUUUAUGGCGAGCUUGUAGACGAUAUUCGCCGCAGCAUAUGCAAUCUGCGUAAACACCAUUAGUAACGCUGGUUUCAGCCCUUGCAUUAAAUUGCACACACCGUUCAUGGUGCUAGCUAUAACUACAAUGGAGUUUUUCUAUCAAAUAAAAUAAAGAGAGAAGAUGAAGGUGUGUGGAAAUUGUAGCUCAGCAAAGGAGUUUUUAUAGAAUAGGUUGAAAAAGUGUUCCAUCACCCCUUGACUGUUAUCGUACUCUUUUACCUAUAAUUUAAUGUAGAGUUGUAGACAAAUGUUUUUGGGAUGAUGUUUUAGCAGACUUAAAAAGUUUAUGGUAGCGUCGUGUUUCAUAAGUCUAUCUUCUCUACUGACUCAUUUUUAUGAGGGAACAUACUUAUUAUGAAAAUAAUUGCCAACAUUAGUUAUAUUCAUUUCAUUUUUAUUUUCGAAAAUGAUAUACCAUAGCGUGAAACUAAAUAAAAUAUCCAUUAUUCAUCCAAUGGAAUUGGAAGCUAUUGUUGGGUAUUCUCCAAAUAAAAGUCAAAAUAUGGUUUUAUGGGUCGUUUAACAAAACAUGUGCUAAUCAUAAAUGCACAUCACCAAAAGAUUUGCGUGGAGGAUUGUUAAGGCUAGGUUGGGAGCUAACUAGCUAAGCCGGGUUGCUUAUUGAAAGGUUCCGAAGAAUUUAAUAUCAUUGCCAUGCCACUUUGUUAUUUCCAUUUAGUUGGAUUGCUUCGCCGGGGUAUGGCUUUUUUGCUCUUGAAUUUAACUCCUGGUCUCCUGCUGGUUUUUAUCAGUAAAGUAAGGCAAGCAAGUCUAUUUGUUGGCACUUGGUGAUUUUAUCAUCAAAGUGGGCUUUAGGCCCCGUUUGAAAAAACAACUUAAUUAAGCACUCAUGGUUAUAAGCGAUAUAAAUGCUUAUUCAUAAGCUACUUUUAAAAAUUAUUGAAAUGAAUUGAAAAUAAACUAUAUAUAAGUAUAAGCUCAUUUCCAUCAGCUAUCAUGAGUAGCUUAUGAAAAUAAGCUCAAAACAACUUAUGGUCUACCAAAAGGGCUUAUACUAUCAGAUAAGCUCAAAUAAGCUAUUUCAAGUUGGAGUGGUGACGAAUGCAUUGUUGCAAGUGCGUGUGAAAGUAAUUUUUUAAAGAAUACAGUACAAGGUGUUAUGACACCAAGAUAGUUAUCAAAAUGACUCAAUGGAUUAACAAUUGAAAUAAAGCAGGACACACUAACAAAAGAGGGAGGCCGGGAGGGUUUGGUUGAUUUUCUUGCAAUAAAAUUAAAGUCGAAAUUAAGUGAUUUAAGAAUUCAUAAGAGGAAGCGUCAAUCCUUGGACGUGAUUCAUUCAAGUGUAACAAACCGUUAUUGGUCACAAAAAGGUUUAUUUAACUUUUUAUUGAAGAUUUUGAGGCGAAUCCCAACUCAUAAAGAAGUUGGAAGAUCCCGAUUCUCUACCGGACAAUUAUCCAAAUUUUGAUUUGCUCAAGUAAAGAUGGAGUCAUUGCCCCUCAAAGUACAAGAACAAUUUUCUUCUUCCAAAAAGCUAACAACCAAUCGGUGUAUUAGAGAGUUUUGUUCUUUGGAAAACAAAACCACAAUCGCUACAACAUUCCAUCAAUCGGUUAAAGAUUUUUUUACUAAUUUCAACUUGCUUAGAUAAACAAUUAAAACAUAGUAUAAUUUCAAACUAAACCAGUCAUGGGCCAAAAGAAAAUUAUAUUAAAACUACAGAGUGAAAUAACGUAAAUCAACUUGAAUAAAAAUAUCAAAUUUUUUUUUGAAAGUUAAAAGAUAUAUAAAUAAGGAUAAAGUUGAGAAAUAACCCUCUCAACAUGGGUACAAUCAUGAAGCCAACAAAAACCGACAUAAACUUAGCCACUACAGCAAAAAAACACUUACAACAUCUAAGAACACCCGCAAGCAAACCACCCCGAUCAAUUAAAGCGAUUAAAGCACUGAGACUGGUCCCUAUAAAGUCGAAAACAACUUAUCAGGUCGCACGACACCUGCAAUAAGGAACCACCUAUGUCGUUCGCACCACAAGACCCAUCGCACGCCAUAGAGCUGAGACCCAAAAGUAAAUACCCAAAUACAUAAAAAACGAUAAGAACUACAACGCAAAAGCAAAAGACAAGCGAACAAGUGCAUACAACAACUCCAACACUGCUUCCGAACCUUCACUAAGCUCAAGCAUAGUCAUCAAUCAAACUUGAAGAAAACACAAAGCACCACAACGCACCUGAAGCAACUGCCCAAAGCGACAGACGAAACUGCAGCAACAACACCAGCCUAAAACCACGAAACAUCCACUGUGGCGGCGCGCCAAAGACUCCCAAAGAAUAGAACCUCAGGUUUGCAUACAAUAUAAGAUUGACUAGAGUUUAGUGACCCAUGAAACUGGGUAAAAACUCUGAGAAAUAAAAGUGAAAUAAAAUAUCAAUCGAAACUACAAAAUAAUGAUUAAGGAAAAAGGGGAAAAGCAUAAUGUUUAACCUAGACUAAAACACUGGUAUUUAACUAUUUAUAGAGGAACCAGCUCCAAAUCGUGCCUCUUAUGCCCUUCUUCAGCACUUCACAGAUCUAAUUCCAGAAGUAAGCGGCUUUAUAACGCGCAAUCUCCCGAGCUCUUCAUGAAUGUUAUUGUCCCUUAGGUUAGCUUCACUAGCUAGGCUUUAUGUAGAGUCCAAAUCCUAGUGAUGACCAGAGUGUUUUAGUUAUUUUUCUAGUUUAUUUUUAUGAAUUUUAAUACAUUAUUUAGGAUAUAUUGACCAUUUUAAGUCACUUUAAGAUUAUUUCAUGCAUUUUAUUAUUUUUAUUUAGUUUUAGAAUUUUUCUAUAUUUUUAUGCUUUUUAUUAUAUUUAUUUAGGAUUCAAAUCACUUAGAUUUAGAUUGAGUUUUUAUUUUUUUUUUAUUUUUUUUAUCUUGUUUUAUUUCAGGAUUAGAUAUUGAAAAGGAGUGAAAAUAAAGGCAAAACCGUACUUGGCAUCUUUCCCAACGGACGAAACUGCUGCAAUAGCAACAAAUUUCACCUGCUGUUAUAUAGGCAUGUAGCAACACUUAAACCCCCGCAAUAGGUCCAACACAGACUAUAAAACUAGCGUCUAGUUCAGCUCCGCAACGGUGGGUGAGUUGGAGGUCCUCUCUUCCGGAUAGCAUCAUCAUGAAUGUUGAUGGUAGUGACUUGAGGGUGCCCCGUCGUGGUGGGUUUAAAGGCCGGGUGCGCUCGCACCGCUGCGGAGAGUGGAUUGCUGGCUAUUAUGGGCACCUCUCGGAUCCUGAUAUCCUCCACCUGGAGCUGCUUGAUAUUUUUCAUGGUUUAUCCCUGACUAGGAAUCUUGGUGGAGUCGUAGAAUGUCAGUCUGAUUCCCAGAAUGCAGUGGAUUUGGUGCUAGCUGUCUGUGCCUUCGUUACAACAUAUUUACGCGGCGCUCAUAUGAGACAUUAAGGACCUCUGGGGUCAUCCUUGGAGGGUGGAGCUUCGACAUACCCUCAGUGAAGGCAAUGCUUGUGCGGACUUUCUCGUCAAGUAUGGUGCUCGUCAGAAUGAGGGACUGGUCUUUCUUGCCACCCCGCUUGAGGGUAUGGGUAGCCUCCUAAUAGCAAAUGCAAUUGGUAUCUCGUUUUUGAGGCCUUAGUCUUGCUUUUCUUUCUCUUUCUUUUGCUGUUUGUUGCUUUCCCUUUUGCUUUGUACCAAAACAAAGGAUCCCACAUAGUUUGAGAAGUGCAGAGAUAUUUCAAAAUGCUUACAACAUUUAUUGUAUGAUAAUUAAAUUAAUAAUAAAUUCAGUUUUAUAAAUGCAGAGAAUCCUGCGACAAACAUCACAAUGCAAAAUUAAUGCAUGUCUAGUCAUCCUUAAUAAAAAGAGAAGCGUGAUCAUAAAAUUUCUCCAGAUCAGACAAAUCCUUUAUUUUAAGGAAAAAGUGUUAUGAUUAAAGUAAUUAACAAAAUAUCAUGGUCUAGAAACUUUUUCAGCCUCUUUUAAUUGAUUUCUGAAUCAAUCCGUAUAUUCUUUAAUAGGAAAACAUCUAUUUAUAUAGUAGGCUAAAAAUCACUUUUGACCCCUGAUAUUUUAAGUUUAUGCAAAUUCUGUCCCUACUCUAUUUUUAUCGAUGUUUCUACCCCUCAUGUUUUCAAACAGUGCACCGUCUACCCCUCCGUUAGUCAGACGUUGACAAACUAACGGUAUGAGCUGAUUUGACUUUUUUUUUUAAUAUUUUCUAGACAUACCACGUGGAUAUUACAAGUGAAAUUGGAAAAAGGGGGCAUGGGAGAUUCAAACUCAAGACCUGUAAGUAGCAAAACAUGCAUUUAACCAGUUCAGUUACAUACAUAAUUGAUAUACACAUCAAGCAAAUUUAAUUUAUAUCAUUUCCUUGAUCAUCAUCAACUUCAUAUACUCCUCUUCAUCUCUCCAAUCCACUCAGGAACCUCUCUUGAGAAAGCCUAACUGACGGAGGGGUAGAGGGUGCACUGUUUGAAAACAUGAGGGGUAGAAACGUCGACAAAAAUAGAAUAAUGGCAGAAUUUGCACAAACUUGAAACAUCAGGGGCCAAAAAUGCUUUUUAGCCUAUAUAGUACUAUGUAAAAGAGACUUGAAUAGAAAUGAAGACCCCUUAUUCAACUCCUUAAAAAAAAACUCACUAUCCUUCAAGAAGAAAAAUCAAAUUUGCCUAUAUAAAAUAUUAGACACUCAAAAAAUGAAACCUAGGUACGUAAUGUUUUCAUAUAUGAACAAAUAUCAAGAAUUAAUGAUAAAAUCUAAAUUAUUAAUAAAUAAUUUAGGCAAAAUAAUUUUAAAAUUAAAAUUAAAAUUUUCGCAAUAAGCUAUUUGUGUAUUAUUUGAAAAAAAAAUUAUAUAUUUUUUAAUCUAUUAUAUAUUAGUGAAAAUGACUUAAGAAGGAGGAAACUAACUAAAAAAAGAGUGAAAAAAUUUAAAUUAAAAAAAUAAUAUUUUACGUUAUUUAAGUUUUUAGCUUACCAAAAAAAACGUUAUUUAAGUUUUUUUAUAAGAGCUAUUAAAAUUACAAUUUAUUAUAAUUUUGAAAUUUAAAAUUAAUUUUUUUUGUUGAUAAAAGCACACAAAAUAUGUUAUUAUUAUAACUUAUUUGAUAAAAUAUUUUAACUUACAUAUUUAUUUUUUAUAUAAAAAUUAAAUUAAUUAUUAAAACUAAUUAAAUGCUAAUUAACUAUUAAAAUAAAUUAUUAAAUUUGAGUGUAUGUAUUUUUUUACACAAUGAAAACUCUAAAUUGUCUCAAGAUUUUUACUAUAUUUAUAAUUAAAAAUUAUUUUUCAUAUUGCUUUAAAGUAUAAUAAUUUUUAUAAUUUUAAAAAAUAUUGUGAAUAAACUCGUGCAAAGCACGGGUAUUAUACCUAGUUUAAUCUUAUUUUGUACUACUCAUAGCAAAUUAAUAACCUUACUUGGUGGUCAUUGAUUUUAUUUUUUUAUAGGUUAAAGUAUUGUAUUUAAAGGGAGUACAAGGGAUACUUCAACCCUUAAUACAAAAAGAGAAAAAGCAAGGAGACAAGAAGAGAAAACAAAAACUAAACAAACGGAUAGAAAGCUGAGGGUGUAAAUAACAUCCACAAUCCCUCCUAAGCAGGAAACAAAAUGUGGAAACAAACAGAUCGAUAGACUUGGUCAUUGAUGGUAUCAAAUUGUGUAGAACAACUCUUACUUGGGACUCCUACUUCGGGAAAUAAAAAACUUGGUAUCUUCCUUUCAAGCAGUGUCUUUUUCUCAUGUGAAUACUUGGUUCCAUUUACUCCCUACUUUUUCCUGAUGAAACUUUGGUUCCAUUCUAUUACAGCUUGUAUUCAAUCUUGUAAUACUUCAGAUUAAUAUGUGUCCAAUUUCGAUUAAUUGAAUGAAAAUAUUUGCCGUCAAAAGAAAAAUAACCAUAACCUAUUUUUCAUUUUAGUGAGAAGAAAUAAUAGUUUUUUUUAUAAGCCAAGAAAAAAUAACUAAAGGUGUGACACGGAAAAAAAGGUUUUCUCUUCUUUUCUUAAAGCAAAAGUUUUACGGAUGGAAUGGUUGAUUGUACAAACAGAACUCAACAAAGUGAGUAUAAUACCCUCUAAUAUUAUAUAAGAAUACCUAAAAUUUAAAUUGCUUUGGUGCGCCUAAAGAUAUAACUUUAAUAAUGCAACACCUAAUAAUUAAACACCUACCCUGCUCGACGACUUGGUUGAGUCUUGAUGUUGUAGGUGUCGAGCAACUUCAUUGACUUGUCGUUGUUUUUCGACUUGGAUUUUAGGGGUUUAAAGCACCUUUGUGUGCUUGCUAGCUUUAGCUAGCUAGUUAGGUUAUUUUACCCAUGUUGAGAGAGGUUGUUUCUCAACAUUUCUUAAAAUAUAUAUAUAUAUAUAUAUAUAUAUUAUUCUCUUUUCAAAAAAAUAAAAUAAACACAUACCCAUCAAAAAUUGCAAGAAAAACUCCGAGCGACAUUUUUUUUUGAUAAGCCAAGCAAUUGUAUUCAAAUAGCACAAGGGGUGCUAACCCAAGUACAAGAAGAAGAGAAAAUAACAAGAUAUUGUUGUAACAGAUAGCACAUUGACGAGGUUCAAACUCAGAUUAAGCACUAAAUGACCAAUGAUAAGGAGCAUAUGUCGGGGAUUGAGAUGUGGCAAGGAAAAACCAUAUAACCCAACAAAAGAAUAACUCAUCUCGCUAUUGGAGAGGACGCGAAAGUAUAAAAAACCUAAGGGGAACAACACCAGACCACGAUCAGCAGUCGGCCCGAAACUUUACCACCUUCACCGUUGACCUUAAGCAGCAUCCAGAUGCCUAGAACUACCAUAGCGCCCAAAUAGAUCCGUGAUAAUGAACAUCGCCACACUAGCUGAACCGUGUCUUCCGCCAUAACUCCACCUUGCAACACCUCACGAACUGAAUUGGAAGAAUCACCAGAUCUUUCGCUGACACCAAAUUUGCAGAAAGGUGGAGGAGAAUAAACAACAUUCAGCACACUGAAGGCACCAAUCCAAAACGAAACCCAGAAACACGGCGCAGGAAGCAUCAAGAAGAGAGGAGGUGUCGAUGAAGAGAAGAAGAAGCGGACCAUCAAAAAUGGUAUUUAAUGUAUAAGAGUUGAUUGAGAGAUAAAUUUAUAUAAUUCAACUUUAACACCAAACAAUGAACAAGCUACCUUCUUUAGAGCCUAAAUCGAAUAUUCAGACUGGGGUCGAAAGGCGGUAAGAAGCAAGGGAUUACUAAAAGCUUAGUAAGGAAGUCGACAAAUGACUUUAAAAAACCGAUUAUUUUCACAGAUCCGCUAAAAUAAAAAAGCCGAUUUGAGGUGGAACCGGUGAACCACGCGAGCUGGUUACAUGCGUGGGGCAGAGGGCUCGUAGUACCCCCUUUUCUUGAUCCAGCCUUUUCUUCACUUCGGUAGUGAAUCACCUACUAAACCUCAAGAUCAUCAGCGGACGACGCCUUAUUCCGAAAGUCCUCCCUCUUUGCUUUGCCCCAACGAAAGAGUAAGUCAGAUCGCUUUCUCCGCUCCGGGACUUUCCCUUGCAGGGCAUUUUCCUUGGAUGUAUUUUCUGCGAAACGAGCCAUAACAUAAGGGUCGAAUCUACUCUGUCAGGUUAGGUUAGGCUACUACUAAAGAUAGGAUGGAUUGUCAUGAAUGGUAGAUGUAGCGCAUCCCGCUCAUGUCUCGCAAUUUCAUAUAGGAAAGGAGGUUUUUUUAAUGGAUAGUUGUAAUUUCGGAAAAAAUAAAAAAGGGAAUCGCCUUGGCAGCCCGCUCUCACCUAUCCUCUCUUUCAUAAUCCUUAGCCCCCCCCCCCCCCCCGCUCAUGAAACGGCUCUGCUGCAAUGGAUGGCAGAUGGACAAGCAGAAGGUGAAGGUAAUAGAAGAGUGGGGAGUCCCCGUGACUCCAUGAAGAAAAGGUUCGUAUCCUUCGCGGCCACCAAUAGGCCUCAAAAUUGAGGGUUAAGAGAGAAUUCAGCAUAAUACCAUGGAUCUCAUAUAGGCUUUCUGGCCCUGGCCCGUAAAUGGACCUUUAUGAGCUUCUAUAAGAUAUUUUAGACCAUGACCAAUGCCCUGUUGGUCUCCUAUACAUGUGACCGGCUAUCAAGAAAAAAAAUGGAAUGGAAAGGGAUAAAUUCUGGUGUGCAAUGUUAACACAAAAAAGAAUUUUUUGAUUUUGGAUUUAAUAAAUAUUUAUGGAAGAAUGAGUUUUUUUUUUCCGCCUUAGUGUGGAAUAGAAAUAUACCUAUUGAAUUUUCUGAACAAGGAAUGAAAGUGAAAGAAAUAAAGUCUUAACUCCUCGCGUUUUAUUGUAUCGGCUAAAAACCCUGUUAAUUGAUCUCUGAUGGUUGAUGUUGGAGGUUGGCCUGCCUUUGACGAUCUAGUAGCUCUACUCCAACCAAUCCGGAGUCGCACCAACGGAUACUGUCACAGCUAAUUGAUUUAAGGAUAAUUUCCCUUUCUCCAUUUCCGAAGUUGUAAUUGCAUAUGCCCCCUUUUCUUUUCCCUGUAUUGCGAAAAUAGAAAAAAGAAAGGGUGAAAAUAUGUGAUUUCACCCGAUCAAGGUUUUCCUAAAACAAAGACCUAAACACCAAAAGCUUAUUUCCAUUCAUUCAUGCUCCUUGACCUUUAGAGGAAAGCGAGCAAGAUCCCUUCAUCGGAAGGGAGCGGAAGUGGGAAGAAGAGGCUAAAAGUGCGUAACAAGAGAAACUUGCUGGUUGCCGAGGACAAGAGGGAAGAAGCGAGUUAUCAAUAUGUGCGACACCAACUCUUUUGUUUUCACUUCUUUUUCAUGCCGCGGUGAAUAUGUACCCGGGCCCUGUACACACCGCCCGUCACACUCUGGGAAUUGGUUUCGCCCGAAGCAUCAGACCAGUCCGUUCUUCUUUCCUCCUCGGUGAAAGAGGGCAAAGGUGGAACGAAGUCUCCGAAAAAUCCUUUCUUUCUCGUCACCGUGUCCCGCCCCGGUUAUUGGACAAGGACGAGCUCCAUACCCGACAGAGAAAACUUGGUGCGAAUCGGGAGGUCCUUCUUCCGGGACGGAGCCGUAUGACUUGUUUUGUAUCUUGAGUGAUUCGGUUGGUAUGUGUUGAAAAAAUAUAUUUCAACAUUUUACCUGUAAUUGGUUUGGUUCGUUGUUUGGAGCUUAUUUAGAUCAAUCUAAACCGAAUAACAUCCCUACUAAAGUAGAUUAAUCCAGAAGCUGUUUUAGAGGGAGGUCCAGAUGGUAAAACAGAGCUUGAGAACCCGGGAGAUAAACGGAAAACAUCACAGAAGCUCUCCACAAGUGGAGCCAUGAACAGGUCGCAUAGUGGCGGCGGAGGGCCCUCUAAGAGUUCUACUCCGAGGGGGACAAAGUGGCAAAGGAAACGGUCCGGGAACUCAUCUUCUGCUCCGGACCGGUCUGGAACGGGGGCAACACCUCCUCUAAAGAAGAUGAACACAGAGAAUGGAUUGGGAUCGGCGGAGACUGCUAGGCAAUCCCGCCCACCUCAAUGAAGCUCAUAGCUACGAACUGUCGCGGGCUUGGGAACCCAGGGGCAGUUCAAGCCGUCAAGCGGCUAAUUUCUACAGAAGCUCCCGACGUGCUCUUUCUUUCAGAGACACGUAAAUCAGCACAUGAAAUGUUAGCUAUGCGUUAUUCUUUUGGUUUUGCUAAUUUGUUUCCUAUAGAUUGUGCAGGUAGAGGUAAAUCUCGUGCAGGAGGCCUUUGUUUGCUUUGGAAUGAUGAGACAGAGGUUCAGGUGACACAUGGUUCUCUCAAUCAUAUUCUUUGCAUGGCAGUUCACCCAGAGACAGUGACUAGAAUGCAGAUUCUUGCAAUUUAUGGUUUCCCAGAGUCGCAUAAUAAACAUCGCACUUGGGAAUUAAUUCAGCGCUUGAAGCCUCCGGAUACAACACCUUGGAUUUGCUUGGGUGAUUUUAAUGAUGUGUUGGGUCUAGAUGACAAAUUGGGAGGCGACCCAGUUGACGUGCACCAUUUACAGAUGGUUAGCCAAAUAGUGUCAGAUUGUGGUCUUACUGAUGCGGGUUACUCGAGCUACCGUUUCACUUGGUCCAAUAAGCGAAGCAUACCUGCAUCCAUUGAGGAACGUCUUGAUUAUGCUCUCAUUAAUGAGAGUUGGAGGGCCCUUUGGCCGUGUGUGGAGGUCUCUCAUCUUCCUAGACUGAGUUCAGAUCAUAAUCCCAUCCUAGUCUCAUGCGGGCAUCGCAGAACAGAAGUUAGUCGCUCAGGCUCACGGAUGUUCAGAUUUGAAGAGGUGUGGCUACAGGAUGGUGAUGAGUGUGCAGAGAUAGUGGCCGCGAUAUGGUCUGGAGAGCAUGGGGACAUUACUGGAAAAAUUGCUAACAUUGGAGAAGCUCUUCAAGCAUGGGGGAGAGAAAAGUAUGGCGCUAUUCCAAAAAAGGUGUCAGCUAUGAAAACUCGCCUUCAGAAUCUCCAGCAUAGUGUUCAGACAGAGGUGGUGGUAGCUGAGAUGAGGUCUACAGAGGCUGAGCUGGAUAAUUUGUUAAAACAAGAAGAGAUCCUUUGGAGCCAGAGGUCUAGAGCCACUUGGUUGUGCCAUGGGGACCGAAACACAAAAUUUUUCCAUCAGAAAGCGACCCAGCGCAGGAAGAGGAAUAAAAUUGAAGAAUUAGUGGAUGACGGCGGGAGAAAAUGGACGGAUAUCAAUAAUAUUGCUAGGGUUUUAACUGACUAUUUCUCUCAACUUUUCAGCACGUCUAAUCCAACGGAGAUAGAGGGAGCCACUAGUCUCGUGGCAAACCGUAUUACGGAGGGCCAUUUGGCCGUUUUGAACUCCCCCUUUACCAGGGAGGAGGUGGAAGAGGCUAUCUUCCAUAUGCAUCCGACAAAGGCUCCUGGCCUUGAUGGCUUACCGGCGCUUUUCUUUCAGAAAUUUUGGCACAAACUCGGAGAUGAUGUCUCUAAUUUUUGCCUGGAGGUGUUGCACAACAGGAUUUCACCAGGUUCGAUUAAUAAAACUCUUAUUGUUUUGAUUCCUAAAAUUAAAAAAUCAGUUCAUGCAACCCAUUUUAGACCUAUUAGCUUAUGUAACGUUAUUUUUAAAAUUAUUACAAAAACUAUUGCUAAUAGAUUAAAGAUUGUCUUAUCUGAUAUUAUUGUUGGGCCUCAAAGUGCUUUUGUUCCAGGACGUUUAAUUACGGAUAAUGCACUUGUGGCAUAUGAGUGUUUUCACUUGAUGAAAAAGAAAAUGUAUGGCCGUAAUGGCAUGAUGGCUUUAAAGUUGGAUAUGUCCAAGGCCUACGAUAGGGUCGAAUGGUCGUUUCUUCAGAGUGUGCUUCAUCAGAUAGGUUUCCCUUCUGCAUGGGUAUCACUAAUUAUGGCCUGUGUGACGACAGUUCAGUUUCAGGUGAUGCUUAAUGGCAAUCCACAGGUUCCAUUUGAUCCAGGCAGAGGGUUGAGACAAGGGGAUCCCCUCUCCCCUUAUUUAUUUAUACUUUGUGGGGAAGUUUUCUCUGCUCUGAUUCAAAAAGAGAUUGUUGCUUCAUCUCUUCAUGGCAUUAAGAUUGCCCGUUCGCCAUCUGCUCCUAUGAUCUCACAUCUUCUUUUUGCAGAUGACAGUGUAGAUUUUGCUAGAGCCACUAUGGAGGAAGCUCACACUAUUCGUAAGGUCCUUACUUCCUAUGAGCAAGUUUCUGGCCAGGUCAUUAAUUUUGACAAAUCUAUGCUAUCCUGUAGCCGCAAUGUUCCUAGUCCCCGCUUCAAUGAGCUGAAAAUGCUGUUGGGUGUGAAGGCUGUGGAUAGUUAUGACAAAUAUUUGGGUUUACCCACCAUUAUUGGUAAGUCAAAAACCCAAAUUUUUAAUUUUGUCAAAGAAAGAGUUUGGAAGAAGCUCAAAGGGUGGAAGGAACGCUCCCUCUCUAGAGCAGGACGAGAGGUUCUUAUUAAAGCGGUAGCUCAAGCUAUCCCUUCUUAUAUUAUGUCGUGCUUUAUCUUACCUGAUGGUUUAUGUGCACACAUUGAGAGAAUGAUUAGCCGGUUUUACUGGAGUGGGGAUGCUUCCCGACGUGGGAUCCAUUGGCUCAAAUGGAACUCCUUAUGCAGGUCCAAGCUCGACGGUGGGAUUGGCUUCCGUGAUUUCAAAGCUUUCAACACAGCUUUAGUAGCCAAGACUUGGUGGCGUAUUCAGAUGCAGCCAGAGUCUCUUUUGGGCCAAGUUUUUAAGGCCGUGUAUUUUCCCCGGACCACCCUGAGUGCUGCUAAGAAACAUGCGCGACCAAGCUAUGCUUGGACUAGCAUUUCACGCACAGCAUGGGUGUUCAUGGAGGGAGCUCGAUGGAAUGUUGGUGAUGGCAAAGAGAUUGAUAUUUGGAGGGAUAAUUGGCUUCCAAGUGGAAAUCCCCUGAUUUAUCGCAAUGAUUUAGCCCAAACGGGUAAUCUAACUCAUGUUUGUCAUUUGAUGGUUCAUGAUAUGCAGGUCUGGGAUAGGGAUCUCAUCGAGCUAGUCUUUUGGCCACCCACAGCGAAGGAGAUUCUAGACAUCCCGUUACCUUGGAAGCCAUCACCUGAUGCACUAUUUUGGCCUUGGACAAUAGAUGGGGUAUACACAACCAAGACGGGCUACGCUUUUAUUCGUCAACGACGCUUGCAUGAUGAGGCCUCCACCUCGUCCAACAGGGGUCAAAAUCAGCAAGCUAGUUUCUGGAAAGCCGUUUGGAAAGUUCAUGCUCUACCUCGGGUUAAGGAUGUAGUGUGGCGAGCUGUUGUGGGUAUUUUGCCGGUCCGCCAUGCCUUACGGAAGCGCGGGAUUGAGAUUGAAGAUGUGUGCCCCUUCUGCCAGGACAGCGCGGAAACAAGUGCCCAUGUGCUCUUCCAGUGCCCGAUAGUGGCACGUUGGUGGUAUGCAGCUCCCUUGAGCGUGCGGUUUCAACCUGCAGAGGAACCAGCAGAGUUUGUUAAGCAGAUUAUGGCCACUAAGGAUGAUGAGGUAAUUGCUAUGGGUUUCACUCUUAUUUAUGUUAUAUGGGAGCAUAGAAACAAGUCAGUUCAUGACUAUGUUCAGCCCUCCUUGGAUGCGGUUCUGCAACGUUUGGCUGCUCUGCUGUGCUAUGAUGAUGCGGCGGUUCUUCCUCACAUGGCAACCAGCACCGCUGAUCAACAACCAAUGGUGUGGAGAAGACCGGUAGGACAGUUCAUUAAGCUGAACUUUGAUGCUUCUUGGACUUUGGCCACAGGUGCAGGUAUGGGUAUGGUUGCGAGAAACUCAAAUGGUGAGGUCAUGGCUGCAGCUACUAAUGGUCCUGUAGGCGCUCCUUCACCUCUUGUUGCAGAGGCUAUGGCUUUCAGAUGGUGUAUUUCUUUGGCUCGAGAUCUUGGUUUUUUCCGGGUGGUGCUCGAAACGGAUUGCUUGCAACUGUUUGAGGCUUGGUAGCAGAACAAGCGUGGUGCUUCUUAUUUGUUUUCUGUUUUAAAUGACUGUAGGGCAAUGGUCUCAUUUUUUAUUAGCUUUCAUUUAUCUUUUGUUCGCCGCUCUGGCAACGCAGUAGCUGAUUCUUUGGCUAAGAGCUCCUCAAAAUUUUCCAACGUUGUUUGGAUUGAGGAAGUCCCGCCAGAGCUUGUCCUUUUGGUGUCUUCAGAUGUUUUAGCCUCUAUGGCGCUUUAAGUUUUAAUAUAUUAUCCACUUUCAAAAAAAAAAGUCGGAUUCAUUAAGCAGAAAAUUAAAUAUGUAUUGGUUUUAGCCUUUCAGGAGAUAAGGUUGGCUAAAAAAUAGAUCAAGUACAAGUUUGAUGCACCAAAUUAAAGCCGCCAGAUGUUUGUAAAUCAUCACAUGGGCAACUACCACGUCAGUGCUUACGUCACAAAAGCGUUUGCAUAACAUUUAAACUGAUAAGUGUUUUUAAAAAAAUUGUUCAUUCUAAUAAUAAAAAGAACUUAUAAAAUAGUGCAAGUAAGCAUAGUAGGAGCACCACUACUAAAAAAAUUUCAAAAGGGAAAAGAUAUUAUUUAUUAAUAUUCUUGAGUACAAGAUUUUAUGCAUCCAACUAACUGAAAAUUUAUUUUUCAAGCCUUCAAAAUUUUAGAACUGAUCAGCAACCGAAAGAAGAACAUAUAAUUAGAGAAACUAAUGCUAAUGUAUUCAUGUAAUUAUAUAUUAAAAUAACCCUGCUUUCUGAUUAAAAUUCAGUCAUUGAUUUUUCAUGACAACAAAAUAUAUAAUCAUAUCAAAAUAACAGUGCUUAUGGGAACAAACUCUUCCAGUGAGGGUGUCAAUUACACAUACAAUCCUAAACAUCAAUACUAGUUUUAUAGCAAAAGCAACACAACCGCCAAAGUCUGGAAGUAACAUAAUGCGACCCUAACACAAAAACCAUCACUAAACAAAAAAAACUAAACAAAGCAGGACUUAAACAACCAUGAAUCAAAGCAACAUGGCCUUCGAGGACAGCACCGGAUGCAAAAAACCACACACCAAGCCUUGAGACUCGAUCAAGUACCAUAAAAUCAAGACAACAUCAAACCACAAGCUACUGCGUUCCAUUAGAACAUGUUCACCUGGUGAAUUUUUUUUCAUCGGAAACAAACUAAAUUAACUUAAAUCAAAACAUAGGUGACUUUCUUUUAUAGUUAGAAGAUUGUAAGUCUAGUUUGGACUUUUACUUGCUAUACGAUAAGAAAUUGUAGAAUUAGGAAAAUGCUAAUUUAGAUGAUGAGUUCGUUUCAUAAGAAUAUUUGAGUAGUUGGAUAUUAGGCAUUUGACAUUUUUUGUUAGUUUCGAAGUCUCGCCAUGGAAAUCAACCUUCAAGGUUGCAAACUUGCAUGUUAGUUUAUAUUAUGUUGAUUUUUCAAAUCCUUGAUUGUUUCUUCAUCGAACCUUUCAAACAAGAGACUAAGGUUCUUCUCAAUCUCUCAAACCUUUUCUCAAUCUCCCUUCGUCUUUCUCAGGGAUGUUUGGUGCUCUGCACAUAAUUGUGUUUUUAGCUCACAUGAAAUACUCUUUACUGUAUUCCAAUAUGUCUUCUCGAGUUGUUGUAUACUCCUGAUCUAGGAUGACUCUUUCAAUUGUUAUGUUUCUCUUCCCCUAUUUCACGUGAAGACCCUUGAUUGAAUAAUGAUAUUAUACUCUACAUCUUAUGUUGAAAAGUCUUACAUUGACUAGAGAUAUAUACGGCCUAGAUGACCCUUAUAUAUGGGAAGAUAACCCUCCACUCUUAAGCUAGCUUUUAAGGUUGAGUUAGGCUUCUCAAAUUCUAAUAUCUUACUUAUAUUGUUCACAAUGAUGCCUUUCUUUCUUUCUUUUUUGGUCAAAGCAAUGAUGCCUUUCUUAAGACCCUUAUGGCCCUCAUUUCCAAGAAGCCCGUUAGCAAGAAGCCCAAACUUUGAAUCAUUAUGAACCACAGGCCCAUAUUUAAGUUUACCUCCAUAGACUUCUUCCAAUCAGUUAAAAAUCUCCAUAUGAGGUAUUUCCUUUGCCCUAUUACCUUGGCCCAUUGAACUCCGUACAAAAUCUUCAUUGUCUUCGAUAUGAUGCGAGCCAGGUGAUUAGCUUCUCUUGUUGGAUUUCAACCAUUGACCAAAAAAAAAAAACAUUUAGGAAACUCACAUUUCAUAAAUCAUUAUGUGGUCAGGGACAUCACUACCAUAUCUCGGAUUAGUUACAUAGACUCAUUUUCACCUUGGAGACUGAUGGCCAAAGACAAAAAAAAAUUAUUGAGCUGCGAAAUUUUAUUUUGCUCAGUUAACUAAUAUUGGAGCCUCACAAUCUGCUAAUUAUCAACCUUAAGAAAGAAUAAAAUGGUUUAAAACAUCAGAUAAGGAUCCACAUAGUUUGAAAAACUGCAGAGACACUAAAUGUUUAAAACAUUUUUAUAUGAUGAUAAAAUUAAUAAAAAGUUCAGUUUAAAAAAUUCCAACAGUUGGACUGGAGAAUUCUUUAUACCAGAAAUACAGAGAAUCCCGGUGCGAUGAACAUCAAUGUAAAAUGCAUGUCUAGUCAUCCAAAUCCCGGUGCAAUGAACAUCAAUGCAAAAUGCACGUCUAGUCAUCCUUGUCAUCAUUUUUAAUGGAUGACUAGACGUGCAUUUUGCAUUGAUGUAUUUCUCAUCUUAAUAAAAAAAAGGUGAUUAUGAAAAAGCUCCAAAUAAAUCCUUUAUUUUAAAGAAAAAAGUAGUAUGACUAAAGUGGUAAAGUUUAGGUUGUUAGUUCAUUUGAUUAGAGGUGAUUGACCAUCGUUGAUUGAUCACCAGAUACACCUAUGAAAUCCCAGAUUUAUCAAUUGCAUCAACCCACACCAUCCAUGAAAAGGAACAAUGUAGCAGCAAGUGGUUAGAGGACUCUGCAAUGAACUGCACGAGCUACAGAAAAUUCCCUCAUCUAAAUUCACACCUCUAGCCACCAAUUUAACUUCUUAAAAAAUUCUCUUUUCCUGCAAGGAACAGAAAGAUUUUACUAAAAAAUUGCCAUUUAAUUAAAUCCAUCCAGAGCACCUUUUAAGGAUAAUACCUCUUCUACAUCAUUAUUCGCAAAAAUCAGGAUAUCGUCCGUGAAUUGCAAGUAACUGAUCACUAGAACCUUAACCAUAGUCACUCUUGCUAAAAUUCAAUAGUUCUACACCUAAACAAUUUUCAAUUGAAUAAGGAUUGAAUUUCUCUUUAUUUAUAUUAUUACAAAAAUUAACUCACAUCUGUCUAGCCCUUAAUUUAUAAGGUAAUCUAGGAAAAUAAAUAAAAAUAAAGUAAAAAGAAUUUACAAAUGCAAGAUAAACUAUCUUUAUACGCUUAACCAACACUUGCACGAAUGUUUAUGCCAUGACUUCAAAUAAGUUAUUCAAAACUCACAAGAUUAAAUUUUAGGAUUUAAGCAGCAGGUUUAUGCAGAUUUUGUUCAAUUCCAAAAGGUGCUGAUAGUCCUGAGCCUUCUGUAUCCUCUCUAGAGAUUUCCCCUGAAGCCAUUACAUCUUGUGCCCCCUCAUUGUCAAUGCCAUUUGGUUGAUGCUCACUUUUAGAAGAUUCAUCGUGAAACUUUGAAACAACAUUAUUAUUGCUCUUACUAUUGGUGCAGCUAUUGUUGCUGGUGUCACAAUUGCCAUGAUGUAUGGAAACAACAUCAGUAGCUUCAACUUCUUGGGUAUUUUCUGACACCAAGUCCUUCCUCUUUUUUGUUUCUUUACUCUUACCCCAAAGCACCAUGUACAAGCCACACACAAUUAGCACUCCUCCGAUAACACUAUAACAUGUUUCAAAAAAAUAACAAGAGUGAGUCAAACAUAUUGUACUUUCUCAAUUGCAAUAUGGGGCAUUCUACUAUAUACCACAAAAUAAAUGGUACAUCAAUCAAUACACUACUUGUAACUUAUUGAGUUUAGAAUGCGUUUGAGAAAACGGUUUAACAAUACGCUUAUUCAUAAACUAAUUUAAAAAAUUUACUAAAAUAAGUUGAAAAUAUGUUAUGAAUAAACAUAGAUUUUUAUUCAUUAGCUAUUUUGAACACCUUAUGAAAAUAAGCUAAAACAACUUUUAUGUAGGUCAUAAGCUCUCUAAAAAGCAUAUUAAUGUAUACCUUCCUAAGUAUAUCUUCUCAUUCAAAACCAGGGAACUACCAAUAGCCACAAUAAUAAGGGUAAGAGGGUUGAAAACAGAUGCAAACAUGGGACCUCUCACCCGUACACACCAUGCAGUGGCAACAUACACCACUCCAGAGGACAUAAUUCCCUGCAAAAGUUACAUGUUUCAAUAUCAUUGUUGCAUAAUAUUAGUUCACCCAUCCAACCACAAUGUAAUAGAACAAUUAGCAUUUUUUUGAAAACAAAAAUUAAUUUUAUAAUAUUCAUAAAGUUUAGAACAAAAGUCUCUCAAGUGAGCAACGAAACCAACUGAAACCUACCAGGGCAGCACAUAAACAUGGAAUUGAGAAAAGGACUAAAAUGAUCACCAUACCGAGUAAGUUGCGGUUAGAAGCCUAAGACUCCAACCUAACUUCCAUUGGCUCCAAUCCUUCUCAACCCAAAGGGCGAAGACAGUACAUUGUAUUGCCGCCAUUAAGGUCAUCAAGGCCGUGCUUGUGUAUUGUCUUGGAUAUUCUUUAGCAAUCUUAGCCUGUGCGUUAUAGGGUGGUCAAUAGUGAAAACAAGAAUAUCGUUACAGCCUGAUCAUGUGAUAAGUUAGAUAGAAGUGUGUAAUGAAUUUACCUGGAUGAUGAGCCAGAAUGAAAAGCUUAUGCAGCUUCCAAUACCACAUAAAACACCGAUUGUUUUUGUUCUAGUGUCAACAUUCUGUGUUCCUCCGUGGCCAUUUUGAUUUUGAUGCAAAAGAUUAAUGUGGGAGGUCCAAAUGUGAAUUUCUGCCCCUUUGAAAAAUGUCAGCAGCAUUGAUCCACCAAUUCCAACUAUUGUUCCCAACAACUUCACCUGCCCUGCUGCUCUUCCUAUGUUUAACUGUUCGAAGCUGAAAAUUUCAAAAGAACUUUAGUACUUAUCAAUCUUUCUUGAGUGAAUGUCAUCUAGGUUCCAGAAACAUAUUGUCAAUGGCAAGUUAGUGCCUGUCUUGCUUGAGUGAAUGUCAACUUGGUUCCAAAAACAUUUUGUUAGUACCUAUAAGAAGAAAAUACAUUCAAAAGUUCAAUCUACAUAAAAUGCCAAUCAAAUUAAUUAAUUAAAACGUCAAUUAGAAACUAAUUUGACGGACUUGAGUAGUUAUCAAUUUUCUGAAGUAUAUGCUCAGUUUUGUGUUUGAAAUUUUUGCAGUUGACAUAUUGAUCAACUAGAACAUCAGUCAAGUUAGCCGAUGUUGGGACUAAUUUGACUGAUAUUUUACAUGUUCAAAGACUUUUGAAUGCAUUAUUUUUUAGGAACUAACUUUUCAAGCACAAAAACUCUUGGGAACCAAGUUAACGCUUCACUCAUUUUUCUUAAUUAUAAAAGAAGAUAAAAAAAGAUUGAAGUACUGUAAAAUGUGAAUAGGUACCCGAAAAAGAUGCCCAACAUAAAUGUGAUUCCAGGAACGAGAUUAUAAAUGGCAGUAGCAAAUGUUGCUGAUAUCAGAGAGAUAGCAUUGACAAAGAGGUUUUGGAAUAGAGUCCCUCUGUUUAUAUCAUUAUUAAACAUAAACCAAUGUUCAAAAUCACUACAAAUAAACAAUAUGUACAAUACAAUUUAGCAAUACAUGCCCAAUAAUUAAAAGAAAUACCUCUCAGGAAAAGAGAUGAAGACUGAAGAGUUCAGAUCAGACAUACCCAAAUAGGCCGGAAAGAAAUGUCAUGAAAAGCACCCUCCAUGUCAGCUUUGGCCUGUUCUUUCUGCUUCAAAUUAAAAAAAAAAGAACAGAAAAAUUAAAUUAGAGGACAAAACACUAUGCAUGUUCAUUUUAGCCCUUAAUAUGCGAGCCCAACACAAGUGCAUAUCCAUGAUUUUAUUGUUGGAGACACAAAUAAAAUGUGGAAAAAUCUACAAAGUUUAUAGGGAAUGAACUGAGAAUAAUUUUUUUUUUAUACAAAAAUCAUAUAAUUGAAAGGGCUUUUAUCAGAUCUCUGAAUUAAGAUAUAUUUCUACAUAGUUUAAAAUGUGUUUGCAAGUUUAUAGGGGAGAGAAGGGGAGGCUUUGAGGGGAAAACAGAUGGGAAGACAAUGAAGGGAUUGUGUGCAAAACUAGAGAAGCAAUUAACAGGGGUUAUGAAUAAAUGAACCUUUCAAAAAUAAGAGAAAGAAGAAUAGUGCAAGCAGCACCGAACAUGAGGCGAUAGGCAGUGAUUACACUAACGCUCAUUCCAUCGUUUAAGACAACCUUGUAGAGAACAUUUGCAGAAGCAUAAACAAUCUGAACCGCCACCAUUAGCAGAACAGGGCUCAACCCUUGCAACCCUACCCAUAAACCUUUCAUUUUGCUUGCUGUUGUGAAUUGUCUUAGACAGAUUUAAGAAGGGAACAGAGAAAAUAAUUAAGACAUACGGAAAUUCUAUAGAACAAUGUACAAAGUGGAUUUAUAUUUAUUUGUGCAUAACAUGCUCUAUGAUAAAUGUACUGGAAUUGGUUCCAAGUUGAAAAAACAAAGCAUGCAUUUAUUUUAGCCUUAAAUUCCGGUUUACUCUAGUACAGAGCAUUUGACCCAGGUUGGACAUCGUGAUCGUGUAGCUGAAAACAGGAGAGUGCGUUGUACCUGUGUAGUCUAUAAAUGUUUUUUGAACGCUAGUCUAUAAAUGUUAGGAGAAAAUUAAUACAAUUAAAUACCGAUUUUGUCUAUAUAGGGUAUAUAUAUAUAUAUAUAUAUAUAUUAAGAGUGAUAAAUAAUCUAUUCCCAAUUAAUUAUACUACAAAAGAAAAUUUCACUUGACAUAUAUGACAAUAUGAAUUAAUUAUAAUUGACUUUUGUAUCAUAUUCAUUGUACUAAAUAAUAUAUUAAUUUUAAAACCUCUCAUACAUAUCUUUUUUUAAAGAUAUAUUCUCUUGCCUACCAUGAGAAGGUUGUUCUCAUGAUCGUUCUUAUUAAUAUCAUUUCUAUUUUCUCAAAAAAAAGGAUACAUAUCCUUAUCCAAAGAAAAUUGUUUAUACAUAUUACUAGUAUUAAUCUCGCGCCAUACACGGAUAGAAUAAGAGUGCUUUGUCGGCAUACAUCAAACAUUUUCAUAUUUUCUCUCUCUUUUUCUCCCUUUUUUCUUUUUUAAAUACAUAUAUCACUUAUUUAAGUUUUUUUUUCUAAUUAUAGUUACAUUCUAAUUUCUCUAGUUUUUUCUUCUAAUUUGUUAUGUUUUGAAUCAAAAUAUCAAAAACAUUUUUAUCUUCCAGAUAUUUAUAUCCAGAUAUAUAUAUAUAUAUAUAUGAAAACAUAAAAUACAAAAAUUUUGAGUUAACUUCCAAAUCAAUCAUUUUUUUUGUACAUCGAAAAGAUAAAUUGCACCCUCCUGGGAUGGAACCCUGGACCUCCCACUGCACGCCCAACUCAUAUGUUCCCUAACUCUUAACACUUGAACUAUUAUUCAGGAAGUCUAAAUCAAUUCUUUAAAACUUUUUGAUAUCAAAUUCUCUAAGGCAUAUAUAUUUGAUAUCAUUGUCAAGAUAGGAUAUUACAUUCAAUUUUUUUUUUUUAUAUAAAAAAUAACCAUAAUCAUUAAAAAAAAUUCUUUAUCAGCAUACAUCUUAAUGGUAGAAAAGUUACAAUUGACUUUUAUUAAUUAUUCUAAUGUCAUUAAAAACCAAUAAAUAUCAAAUUAAUGCAAUAGUUAUUUUCGAAAAAAGUAACAAUUGACUUUUGUUAAUUAUUCUAAUGUUAUUAAUAAUUAUUAAAUGUAAAAUUAAUACAUUAAUUAUUUUUAAAAACAUAUAAUUAUUUAAUACUUAAAUUAUCAAAAAUAUCAACAUCAUCUACAUACUAAUUAGGGCCCGUUUGAUAUGUUGUAUAGUAUUAGAAUUGAUAGUAUAAGGUCUAAUUGUAUUAGACCUGAUAUGAUAAGGCCUGAUAAAAUUUUAAUACUAUACAACGUUUGGUCAUACAUUGUAUAAUUUGGUAGCAACAGUAGUUGUGGUGAGAGUGAUGGUAUUUGUAACGCCCCGAAUUUCGGGUGUCACUUUAGUAACCUAUCAAAGUAAAUAUGCAAUAUUUUCCAAACGAAUGUAUAAACACGAGUAUUAUUUUUUUUUUCUUUUCGAAGUGUAUUUCCAAAACAUGUCAUGCAUACUCUCAACUACAAAGCCUAACCAAUAGAAACAACUCAACAAAACUAUUAUGCAAUGACACCAUGAAUCCGACAUACUCCCUACGAUCUCCACAUCGGGAAACCGCAGGAAAGCAAUGCAUCGGAACCUACCCGAAACCUCAAAUAUAAAUUCCUAAAAUCUUUAUGCAAGCUUAAACCAAUAACAGUAAGCUCUCUAACCCAAGGAUCUAGCCUUAAACCAGACUCUACUCGUCGAGUACUCCACUAUCCUUCAAGUCCUCAUCUCUACUUGCACAAAGGUUAAGCUCCUUCGAAGAUUCUUCGUCGCCUAAUAGCGUUAAGCGCCCAAACAACAAAUAACAAACAGAAAGGGUUAACUCCAUGCAAUUACCACGUAGAAAAGAGAAAAACAUGUUAUUCAAAUUUAAGUGCAUAUCAUGGCACAUAAACUAGCAACUUAUUUCAAGAUAAAUGACAACAUAUAUCCAACAACAUGAAAUCAAAUCAUAUAUCAGCAAAAUCAACGAUUUGAAUUUAACUCAGAUAUCAACAACUUAGCAACAUAGAUACGACAAACAGAUAAGCUAACAAUAUAAUCAAAGAUAGAUAUCAAUAGAAGCAACAACAUAGAAUUAAACCAGAUAUAAACAACCUCAACAACAUAGAAUCAACUCAUAUAUAUGACAAUAACCUCAAAUCAGAUAUCAACAACCUUAAAAAUAUACAUCAAAUCAAAUAUCAACAAUCAUCAACAAUAUAACAUCAAAUUAGAUAUCAACAACCUUAAAAAUAUAACAUCAAAUCGGAUAUCAACAACUUCAACAAUAUACAUCAAAUCAAAUAUCAAUAACCUCAACAAUAUAACAUCAAAUCAGCUAUCAACCAAAACAUCAGAAGCAAAUAUUAUUGCCCUAUAAUGCAACUAUAUGCUGCAACAAAAAUGGAUCGAUCAAUAAUGUCUCGCAAGACGGGACAGAGCGAGGAACAGACUCCCCUGAACUAUCACCAAAUAACGCCCAUGAAAGACGGGACAAACGGAGAACGGACUCCCCUGAAUGCCACUUAAUAACGCCCAUGAAAGACGGGACAGUCAUGUGAAAAUAUCCACUCCACUGCCACUUAAUAACGCCCAUGAAAGACGGGACAGACGGAGAACGGACUCCCCUGAAUGUCACUUUAUAACGCCUCGAAAGACGGGACAAUCCCGUGGGACAAACCCACCUCAUCGCCACUUCAAGCAAACCAAAACAUCUCAUCCAACUCAGUAGUCACUCAAACAACAAUCCCAAAUUCCCUAAUCAAAUCAAGAUAAUCACAUGUUAUUCAUAUUAUCGACAAACAUAAAUCAAUUCAAUGCAUACCAGAUCAGUUCAAUGACAGAAACCAGUAAACGACCGAAGCCUCUCAGAAAACGGAGACACACGUCUCAAUAAGUUCACUCGGCCGAAGCCUUCAGAAAACAUUUAGCACAAGCCUCAGAAAUAGUCAACAUAAGCAAGCAUACAACAUUGAAAGCAUACCAACAUUUCAAUCAAUUGCCAAUCAAGUUUAAACAAACUUCAUCUCAAACGCAUGCAGUGCGAUAAAAGCAUGCAAGACUCAAAGACACUCAAAAAAUGAGUUACCCUUACCUUAGCCAAUUUCUCCAUCCAAGCUCAACAUCCCAGUCCAAUCCAAAAUAAAGCUCCCGACCCAGCAAGUUCCCCGGGCGUCCUCCUCAGUUGUGAAACCUCACCAAUUGCUCCAAAAUCUCUUUCCUCAGCUCAACUCGUUCCAAACCUUAAGCAAAGUAUCAUUGCUUAGUCGCUAAGAAACAAAACAACUAAUAACACUAUCAAAACCCGAAAAGAAGCUUCGAAGCUCUAGAGUUCGACAUUUAGGCACGAAUGGACAAUAAGACAGGUUUUCGCUGAAAUGCGCAUAACUCGAGCUACAGAACUCGGAAUGACACGAAACCAACGGAAAAAUUUCGACAAUUGAAAGAGCUACGCAAUGGCUCAGGUCAUAGAGACCCAAAAAUUAUUUUUGGACACGGUACCCUAACAAACAGGUUUCGGCCACUUUAGAAAAUAGGGUUUCCGAACUUUUUCUUCGAUCUAAAUCAAUUCCUAGGUAUUCUUAGGCGAUAUCUAGGCCAGGGAAACUCUCAGAAAAAUUAUCGGGUCGAAAACUGUCGCAGGGGUAUUUUGGUCAAUAUUUUUAGCUCGGAAACUCAAAAUCAGAAUUUCGAAAAAUAAAUUAGAUGGGGUCGAUACCAACGACGAUUAUGACGACUAAUCCUACUGAUGCUAAGCUCAGUCGAGAUUUUUUGACUCAAAAAGCGGAACCUCAGCAUAAAAUGGGUUUUUAGUCAGUUUUUCAGAUCUACGGCGACUCGGUGAAAAUCCGAACGAUCCAACAGUGAUUAUAGCAUGUUGGGUUGCAGUAGAAGAUAGUUGGAAAGAAAAAUCGAGGUAAUCAGACAUUUUUACAAAAAGUUCUAAACUUUGAGCACAGAAAUAGCUAGAAUAAGCCGACAGAAAGCAGAAAUAGAAGUAAGAUUAAGCAUCCUUACCUCUGUGUCUACACGUAGCUUCUGAAAUAAGGACGAUCGGGCAAGAAUCGGAAAAAGCUCUGCACCCCUCUCUUUCUCUCUCUAACUCUCGGCCACUUUGGGAGAAAAUGAGAUAUUUUCUCACUUUUUCCCUUUUUAUAGUAGAGGGGAAAAUCCGAAAAAUCGAUAUUUUGCGGUUCCGGUCGUUUUGGUACUUCCGUCUGCUGAUAAAAAUUGAGUUUUCGGCGACAGAAUGUCGAAACUCAAAUCAAGGUUCAUUUAAUUGAGGAAAACGUCUCAAAGACGGUGUGAGUCGAUUUAUGCUGAAAAACUACUUUUUGCAGUUGACGUCGGAUGAGGAAACUUCCUUCAGGAAAAAGAUCAAAAACGUCGAAAGAAAUGAGGCAACGCGGAUGGAAACUUCGCUAGAAGCUCCGAAUAGAAAAACCCUUCAUUCAAGGUCUUAGUUAAAGUUCCCGAGAUGUUAAAGUCUGGCUUCGGCGGACUUCCGGGAAGCGAAACCUAACAAGCGUAUAGUCCAGGGUUUCGUAUCGGAAAGCUAGUCAUGGGAAAAAUACUCAGAGGUUCUUAUUCUCUCUUUAAUUCUAAAAUUCUCUUAAACAAUGCUCUAGGAGCGGAUAUAGCCUUUUUCGGACACUCUCGACCUUAGUCGGGUGCGAAUAUGGCUUGUGCCAUCAAUCAAAAUGACUAAAGUGUCAUCCUUAAACAUACUGCGAACUUUCGUCUUCAUAACGCUAAUCCAAACAUUAAACACGAGUCAAGUUCCUCUCACGCUGACACAAAAUCCUAUGCGUGAGUUGGAAAUUAAUUAUUUAUUUAAUUCUAAAAUCCUGGGUCUUACAAUAUUGGAGGGUGAUAGGGUGACGAUGGUGGUGGAUGGCGGUGACAGUGGUGGUAGUAGUGGCGGUAGUGGCGAUGAUGACAAUGAUAGAGUGGUGGUGGAGGUGAUGAUGGUCGCAGUGGUGGUGGCGGCGUUGGUGGUGGAGGGUGGUGGUAGUGGGGAUAACGAUGACGGGAAUUAACGAUGGUGGUACUGGUGGAGCGUGGUGAUGGUGGCGGUGACGGUGGUGGAGGGUGGUCGGAGGUGGCGAAGGUGGUGGUUGAGGGCGGUGGUGGUGGAGGAGGGUGGUGGCGGCGGGGGUGGUGGUGGCGGCGAAAGUGAUGGAUGGUGGAUGAUGGUGGAGGGUGGUGGUGGAGGGUGGUGGUGGUGAAGGGUGGUGGCGACAGAAGUGAUGGAGGGUAUUGGCGGUGGCGAUGGUGGUGAUGGAGGAUGGGGUGGAUGGUGGUGGUGGCGGUGGAGGGUGGUGGCGGCUGUGGUGAUGGAGGGUGGUGGUGGCGGCGGCAGUGGAGGGUGGUUGUGGCAGCAAUGGUGGUGGUGGUGGCGGUAGUGGUGGGCGGCGACGGUGGUGGUGGAGGUUGUGGUGGUGGCAGUUAAUUAAAUAUAUUCAAGUAGUUUAUACAUCACAUUUUUAUCAUGUCUUAUAUAUAGGGUGGAUUAAAUAUUCCAUCAUUUUGAUGUAUAAGAGAAAAUUGAUGUAUAAACUUAUACAAUACAACGUGAGCACUAAACAAUGGAUAAUCCAUGAUGUAUUAUAUAAGCUUAUGCUAUCAUGCCUAAUACGGCGUACCAAACGUGCCUUAAUAGUAUGAGAGAGAAAGUUUGUGAAGAAAGACAUAAAAUGAGGUGGUGACACUUGUCAAAGUUGCCACUUUUCGGUUUCAGAAAUAGUAUAUAUAUAUACACGAUAAGAUAGGAUUUUUUUUUGGUUACAAUAAGAUAGGAUAUGAUAGAAUAUGAUAAGGUAUGAUAGGAUUAAAAUGAGUAAAAUAUUAAUUAUCAAUCAUAAUUUUUUAUGCAUUCAGAUCAAUACUAAUUGAUUAUUAAUAAAUCUUUAUUAUAUGAUUGACACACUAGAUGAUACCUAUAACUAAGCAAAAAAAAAACCACUAAUUGAAAAAAUGGUUAAUACAAAGUACUAUUAACUAAAUAUAUAUUUUAAAAUUAACUAAAUAUAUUAAAUAAUUGAGAUUAAUGGAUAUGCAUUGUUUGUGUAAAGAAGUGUUACACGGACGUCCAAUCACAUUAUGUCACAUAGGACUAAGUGGUUACAAAUAUUUUUAAUUUUAGUUAGUAAAUUAAUAAAUUGCUGAUGUGGCGGAAAUCAAUUUAGUGGAGAUAACCUUCUUCGCAGGGGCGGAUCCAGACCUUAUAUGUUAGUGUGGCUAAACAUAAAAGAAAUUACUGAUUAAAAUAUAUUGAAAUCUUUUUUUCAAAAGAGAUAAAUAUUAUAGAUAAAACCAUGAGAGAAAGUUUCUCAUGGAAAUAGAAGAGUUUACAGUCCAAGAAGGACUAGGCUUACAACGAAAUAUAACAAAAGAAACAGAGUGAAAACAACAGUACACUAUUCUUCUUUAUAUAUGUAUUGUGUUGGAUGACAUGAUGAGCACAUUUGAGUGAACAUUAAUUUCAUGAUGGAUAUGAACAACAUACAAAAUAUAAAAUACAUUCAGGAAGAGAAUAGAAUGAAAGCAACACAUUGUGAGAGACUUGGUUUUUUUUUUAUCAACUAAGGUAAGAUGUAUUAAAAUGGGAGUACUAGGUGUACUCCAAACCCACUUACAGCAAGAAAGCACAUAACUGUGAAAAGCAAAAGAAUAGAGCAACAAUUCUGUUUUGCUUACACGUACAGGCCUGCUACCCACAAAAACUAAACUCAAACAAAAUUGUUUGUACAAGAAAAAUAGAAGAAAAUCAACGAACACAAGUUUCAGUAUAGAUACAAUUGCCUCACAAACCAGAGUAAAAUCUUACACACUUAGAAUUGUGAUUGGAUAACACAAGUUCUCAAGCAUAUAAUUUUUUUCUAAAAAAAAAAAACCUGGUGUGGUUAAGCUGAGAAACGUCAUACUACUUAGGAUUAAGGAUUGGACUUUUCGUUAAAAAAAGGAUUGGACUUUUAUGGUAUUUUUAGGACUUGUAUUUUUUGCACAUGUGGGGAUUGCUUUUAGCACACCCAUUUUUACAAUUUACACAUCCAUUAGUUUUAAAAUUUUAAAAGAUAAAGAAAGUUUUUUUUAUCAAAGAUAAUCAAUUCAAUACCCAAAAGAUUGUCUAACGACAUUUACAAUAUGUAAGAAUAAAUCUCAACAAGCGAUAUCGCACUGCAAUAUAUAAGUAAUCACAGAAACAAGCAUACACACUCAAACAACAAAAUUAAACAUCAACUAAAAGCAUGAUGUAAAAAUCUUAAGGAUCAUACAAAAGCUCCUAAUAAACAUCCAAGCAGAUAAAAAUAAGUCUAAUACAGGAUUAGAGUAUUGGGCUAGUGCUUUGAAUCUCAUUUGUUUUAUACCAACUCAUUGUUUUGGGCGCUACCCUUUAUGUGAUUACUUAUGUAUUGCAUUGUGAUAUCGGUUGUUGAGAUUUGUCAUUGAAUAUUCAUUUGCUAGAUCCUUAUUAGAAUAUUCAUUUGUUUAUAAUUUACAUUGAUGUGAGUUAGUUUCUCUUUUUUUUCAGAAGAGAAGGAAAAAAAAGAGUUAGUUUCUCUUUUGACCAAAAAGAAAGUUAAUUUCUCAUGUGUUAUGUUUGGAACAGGUGAAAAUGCCGUGAUGGAAAACUACAUCAGGGAAAAAGAUAUAAAAUUACUGUACACUAUAUGUUUGGUUACACAAAAACAUGUCAGAAGGUGGUAAAACCAUUCUUGCAUAAAUCAUGGCUAUGAUUUCCCUAAAAUGAAAAGUUAUAGAAACAAAACAAGUAAUUGACAAUUUUUUUAAAACAAGACUCUCCCAAGUGAGUUAAUGAAUUUUGAAAAAGUCCAACAAACAACAAAAGAUUCAAAAGGAACAACUAAUGCACAAAUCCGCAACAAACAAGAGGAUAAAAAUAACAGUCAAUUGUUCUGAUAUCAAGUGUGAGUAAAUCAAACAUUGAAAGAUAAAAAAAACUUUGAGCGGUUUAUAAGUGUGAGAACUCAUAAACCCAAUGUCAUCAGGUUUUGAGUGAAAGAUGUGAUGUCUGGUCCACUUGUGAUUUGCUCUUUAAAUUUCAAUGUGGAGUUUUAUCCCAAAUUUUAAAAUCAUCUCUUUUGUUUGACCAUUUAUUUUGCCCAACAGUGAUAUCAGGGUCGAUGGUUGUUUGAACAUGGGUCAUGAGCCUCUGAGGUUCCGUUUGAGUACAAGCCCAACUUUCAUUUGAGAUGGACUCACACUUGAGAAGGAGAUUGUUGUGUACUAUCAAGUGCGAGUAAGCCACUUACACAUUUGAAGAUAAAUGAUAAAUUUGAGUGGUUUAUAAGCGUGUGAACCCAUGCAUGUACUCAUUGUCUUAAGGUUUUGGAUGAAAAUUGUGGUAUCCAACUCACUUAUGGUUUGCUCUUUAAAGUCCAAUGUAGAGUUUUAUCCCCGAAUAUUAAACUAUCUCCUUUCUUCGGCCCUUUAUUAGGCCCAACUUGUUUCAUGUGGAAUAUCUCAAUAAUUCGAAGAGAAUGAGUUGUAUUUUCAAAAACAACUAGUAAUAUAUUUCAUUAAUAAUAAAACUUUUAGAAAAGUGCGAAAAAUAUAUUUAUAUUUUAUUGUAUAAUACGUGUUGAAUAUGUGAAGAGAUCAAGUGUGGCAAAAAACUUUAUUCCUUUUAGGAUUGAGUAACAUAGUUCAUUCAUUAUUUAUUGAUUAGAAUAACAUUAUAUUUUUUUAUAGGGAUAGAAUAACAUUAUAAAUCAGUCAGAUUUGAGUAGAAAAAAUUCCAAUCCUGAUUUAAUCAUUUUUAUAAAAUUGAAAUCAUACCAUAUGGGGCUAAAUCAGCUUUGUAACCCCCCAGGAGUUUGAUUCGAAUUUCACCCCUUGUCCAAAAUAAAAAGCCAGAGUUAAUUGCGUCUUUUAGUGACUUAAUGUGUAUUUAAUAACAACCAUUGAAAAUUUGAAAAGAAAAAACAAAACAAAGCAAUACAAUGAUUGACAGAACAUACAUGCAGGCAAAAAGCACACAAAAAACCAUAGAAUCUGUUUUCCUUUUUUCUAUUUAUGAAAACGGCUUGUGGUUAUUUUAAUUUUAUCAAGCAAAACAUUGGUUGGUAAUUGGCUACAACCAGAGCCUAUGGUUUUUCUAAGUUCCAAGUUUGAUACAUUAAAAAAAGGUUACAAUCCUUUGCUAAAUUAAGCUAUGAUUUAUAAUAAUAGCAACCCUUGGCCUCCUCAAAAUUUUGCAGGCCAUUAAGAACCAAACAAAACAAACUAAAAUUAACGCGUAGUGACCCUUUAUAAAACCUUUCAAGAAUUAGCUACAACACAAUUGAUCAUUAUUCCUUCAACCUUUCUUUGCUUUCUAAUUAGCGUUCUUUCUCUUGUUAUUGUAGAGGGAGGACGAUAAUAUCAAGAAAGAAACUUUGUUUUAUUCUCUUAAUUAACUCAUCUAUCAUUCAAUAUGGGAAACUGUGGCAGCAACCCUAAGACCAAUGAGGGUCCUGAGCCAGUGCCUGAGAUUAAGAAUGAGGAGGUUAAGGUUGAGCAGGUGCAGGAGAGUGAAGCCAAUGUUGAAAAGAAGACAGAGGAAACCCCUAAUGAAGAUAACAAGUCUCUAAGCACCUUGCUCAAUGAGGUAAUAUCUUAAUUUCUCCUUCAAAUUAGGUCUCUGAGAUGACUGAAAUCUUCUGUUUUCAUUUGAUCUAUAUCUUUGUUCUACCAAUCAAAUUAUGUCAUAUAAUUCAGAAAUCACUAAUAUAAGAUUAUAAAUGUUAUACUCAUGCAAUUUGAUUGGUGACGAAAAAAAGAGACUUGGGAUUAAGAUCUUCAUCCAUCCCAAACUUGGUUAAAAUAAUUGUUAGUUUAUGAGUUUUACCUUUUUUUAAUCACCAUUUUGCAAAUUUACAUGAUAUUAUUUAUCAAUUUAUUUUGAUGUUUUUAUAAGAAUUAUAAUGGUAAAAUUAUUAAUAUAAUGAAAGUAUAAUUUUUUUUCGUUACAAUUGGAAAAAUAAUGAAAGCGUUAUUUAAUAAAAUAUUUUUUAUAACACAAUCAAAAGUUUUAGUUAUUUUCUUAAUAUUUUUGUAAAAUCUUAGAUGACAAUUACUCUUUCCCUUCAUUAAAAUAAAACCAUUUUAAAAAUUUCAAAUUAUUUCAAACAAAGUGAGCAUAAAAAUUAGGUUUUUAUAUCACCCAAGAUAAAUAUUAGGUUAAAUCACAUAAUAUUCUCGUGACAAAUGUCAAAAUAUUAUUUGACCACCUAAAUUAGAGUAAUUUUACACAAGGUAAAUCUUAAAUGAUUUAUGAAAUUCUGAAAGAUGCUAAUCUAAAAUACAGUUAAAAAAUUUAGAUUUGAUGAACCGUACCAAAAAAUAUUUGAUUUAUUAGAAUAUUGAAAAUGGUGUGAAGAUUAAGAAUACUUUACCAACAACAAUUAAGUUUUGUUUUUAAGGUUACAGCAAUGAAGUUAUACUUCUAAAACAUUUCAAUCUAAUGCUAUUACAUCCUCCUAAACAUUUCAACCUAAUUAUUAUCACUUUUGUACAAGCAGAAUGAAGAGGAGGCAAAGAAACCUGAGGAAGAAGUACAAGCUGAGCCCAAGGAAGAAAAAGCAACCACUGAGGAAGUAAAGGUUGAAACCAAGGAAGUAAACCCGAAACCCGAGGAGGAGCCCAAGGAAGAAGAACCUAAAGCCCAAGUUCAAGAAGAGAAGCCCAAAACAGAAGAGGCAUAGAGCUGAGAAACGUGCGUGUAGACAAAGGUUUUACCAGGAUUGAUUUUAUAUACUUCAACAAGUAUACAAAUUUGUUGCCUUUCUGUUUAGUGCUCCAAGGAAAAUUUAUUAGAU